UCACAGAUAACUACAACUGCUUUCACUGUCAAAGACUGUAAUGCAAUGGGAGAAGCCUGGGAUCUGAUCUUCAGCCCAACUUCAGAGGCCAGAUUGCCAUUGACAUGGGUGACUGUGAGCCAGGAAGAAGUGUCGACAAGAAGCCUUUUGUGGCAUGGAUAUUAGAGGUGUCUUAUGCCUCUAAAAGGUUAGAAUCACGAAAGGUAAGAGGUGGAAUCAUUAAAAACAUCACUAGAAAGCCUCACCUCUGAGACCCACGGACACAGAAUACUGCCUAAACCAAGGUGGAGGAAGACCAGAGGCAAACCCUUCCACCUCUUCUCACUCCCACCCUCUCCCACAUCCUCCACCAAACUGGCGAACACGAACGCGGAGUAGCAAGAAGUAACCGUCUUCUCCUGAGAGAAAGACAGGUCCCUUUCUGUUAUUGCAUGGGGAAUCUAAAACAUUCGUGACUAAUUAAUAUGUCAAAAAUUCUUUGGAAAAGGUAUACAGAUGUGCCUAAUUAGGUGAAGAAUAGCCUGGAAGACAUGGAGGCUGUAUAAAAUAAUCAAAUAAAAAUGCUAUGGGGGAAAAACAUACUAGCAGAAAAAAAGAAUGCAUUUGUCAGAGUCAUCAGUGGAAUCCACACAUCUGAGGAAGGAGUUGGUGGAUUUGAACUUCAAGAUAGAUUAAUACAUAUUGUCUAAACUGAAGCAAAAGGAAAAACAAAACAAAAAACAAAAACCAAGUCACUUGUGGUGAAGGUGCAGGAAGAAAACAACCAGAACUGAGCACCCCAGAGCUGCAGGACAGUAUCAGAAAGGUAAGAUGUGUUUUUGGAAUCUUGGAGUAAGGAUGAAGCAGAAUAAAUAUUUGAAGGGAGUAAUAGCUGAGAGUUUUUCCAAAAUAGUGAAAAUUAUCAAACAGAUUAAGUUCAGAAAACGCCAAGAAGGAUAAAUGCACACCCAGAACAUCAUAGUCAAGGAACCAAACAAUGUAAGUUAAAAGAAAACCUAAAAUUCCAGAAAACUAAAGCCUAUUACAUACAAAGGAACAAAAAUAAGAAUUUAGUAGACUUUGACUUUUUGUCAGAAACUACAUAUGCUAAAAGACAAUGAACUCUUUAAAGUGGUAAAAUUUUUAAAAAGGUAACUCAAAAUUCAUUGAAAAGAUGUAUCAACAUUGAAAAUAAAAUAAAGAACCUUUUGACAAAAACUGAGAGAAUUGUCAGCCAACCGACGUGAAAAGAAAUAUGAAAAGAACUUCUUCAAGGUUGAAAGGAACCUGAUAGAAAGUCGUAUUUUUGCAAAGUAAUGAAGAUCUCCGAAAGCAGUUAAAAUGAAAUUACAUAUAGAAAAUAUUUUUCUUAUUUUAAAUACUCUGAAAUGUAAGUGACUGAGAAGUAGCAGUGUAGCGUGGUUUAAAACUGCACAAAAGUAAAAAUAUGAAAAUUACAAAAAACGAGGGGAGCGAAUUAAGAGCAUACUCUCAUAAGGCUAGGUCUUAUACUUAACGUAAAGCAAUAUAAUUUAUCUGAAGAUGUGUAUUGUAAACCCUAGGCUAACUACUAAAACUUUAAUUAGGCAUGAAAAAUCCAAUUGUGAAAAAGUCAAACUUAUAAAAGCAGAGAAAAUACUGGUUACCAGAGCUUGAGGGGGUGGGGAAGUUGAGAAUGGGGAGAAGCUGAUUUGGGGUGCAAAGUUCCAGCUUUACAGGGGAAAAGUUUUCACAUAGCAAG
This is a long non-coding RNA of Fukomys damarensis (Damara mole-rat), 1720 nucleotides long. The record is from Ensembl. NCBI's taxonomy places the organism in Eukaryota, Metazoa, Chordata, Mammalia, Rodentia, Bathyergidae.